CAUGGCUCAGGAUGAACGCUAGCGGCAGGCUUAACACAUGCAAGUCGAGGGGCAGCAUGAGGGUUAGCAAUAACCCUUGAUGGCGACCGGCGCAAGGGUGCGUAACGCGUGAGCAACUUGCCCGUUUCUGGGGAAUAACCGGUGGAAACGCCGACUAAUACCCCAUAGUAUUGAGUUCAGGCAUCUUUACUCAAUUAAAGAAUUUCGGAAACGGAUAGGCUCGCGUGACAUUAGCUUGAUGGCGGGGUAACGGCCCACCAUGGCGACGAUGUCUAGGGGUUCUGAGAGGAAGGUCCCCCACACUGGAACUGAGACACGGUCCAGACUCCUACGGGAGGCAGCAGUGAGGAAUAUUGGUCAAUGGUCUGACGACUGAACCAGCCAUGCCGCGUGAAGGUCACGGCCCUAUGGGUCUUAAACUUCUUUUGUAAGGGAGCAAUAAGCCCCACGUGUGGGGUGAUGAGAGUACCUUACGAAUAAGCAUCGGCUAACUCCGUG
This 498-nucleotide ribosomal RNA is filed under the name uncultured bacterium. RNAcentral's name for it is "bacterial SSU rRNA". It matches the Rfam family "Bacterial small subunit ribosomal RNA", at positions 18 to 507 of the family's 1533-position model. The record is from RNAcentral.